AGGAAUAUUGGUCAAUGGACGAGAGUCUGAACCAGCCAAGUAGCGUGAAGGAUGACUGCCCUAUGGGUUGUAAACUUCUUUUAUACGGGAAUAAAGUGAGUCACGUGUGGCUUUUUGUAUGUACCGUAUGAAUAAGGAUCGGCUAACUCCGUGCCAGCAGCCGCGGUAAUACGGAGGAUCCGAGCGUUAUCCGGAUUUAUUGGGUUUAAAGGGAGCGUAGGCGGGUUGUUAAGUCAGUUGUGAAAGUUUGCGGCUCAACCGUAAAAUUGCAGUUGAUACUGGCGACCUUGAGUGCAACAGAGGUAGGCGGAAUUCGUGGUGUAGCGGUGAAAUGCUUAGAUAUCACGAAGAACUCCGAUUGCGAAGGCAGCUUACUGGAUUGUAACUGACGCUGAUGCUCGAAAGUGUGGGUAUCAAACAGGAUUAGAUACCCUGGUAGUCCACACAGUAAACGAUGAAUACUCGCUGUUGGCGAUAUACAGUCAGCGGCCAAGCGAAAGCAUUAAGUAUUCCACCUGGGGAGUACGCCGGCAACGGUGAAACUCAAAGGAAUUGACGGGGGCCCGCACAAGCGGAGGAACAUGUGGUUUAAUUCGAUGAUACGCGAGGAACCUUACCCGGGCUUAAAUUGCAACUGACGGAACCGGAAACGGUUCUUUCUUCGGACAGUUGUGAAGGUGCUGCAUGGUUGUCGUCAGCUCGUGCCGUGAGGUGUCGGCUUAAGUGCCAUAACGAGCGCAACCCUUAUCGAUAGUUACUAGCAGGUAAUGCUGAGGACUCUAUCGAGACUGGCCGUCGUAAGAUGUGAGGAAGGUGGGGAUGACGUCAAAUCAGCACGGCCCUUACGUCCGGGGCUACACACGUGUUACAAUGGGGGGUACAGAAGGCAGCUACACGGCGACGUGGUGCUAAUCCCAAAAGCCUCUCUCAGUUCGGAUUGGAGUCUGCAACCCGACUCCAUGAAGCUGGAUUCGCUAGUAAUCGCGCAUCAGCCACGGCGCGGUGAAUACGUUCCCG
This 1017-nucleotide ribosomal RNA is filed under the name uncultured bacterium. RNAcentral describes it as "bacterial SSU rRNA". It matches the Rfam family "Bacterial small subunit ribosomal RNA", at positions 357 to 1376 of the family's 1533-position model. The record is from RNAcentral.